This 568-nucleotide ribosomal RNA is filed under the name uncultured cyanobacterium. Its description in RNAcentral is "bacterial SSU rRNA". It matches the Rfam family "Bacterial small subunit ribosomal RNA", at positions 44 to 654 of the family's 1533-position model. Lineage: Bacteria; Bacillati; Cyanobacteriota. The record is from RNAcentral.
CUGCUUACACAUGCAGUCGAACGGAAUCCUUAGGGAUUUAGUGGCGGACGGGUGAGUAACACGUAAGAACCUGCCUCUAGGACGGGGACAACAGUUGGAAACGACUGCUAAACCCGGAUGAGCCGAAAGGUAAAAGAUUAAUCGCCUAGAGAGGGGCUUGCGUCUGAUUAGCUAGUUGGUGAGGUAAGAGCCCACCAAGGCGACGAUCAGUAGCUGGUCUGAGAGGAUGAUCAGCCACACUGGGACUGAGACACGGCCCAGACUCCUACGGGAGGCAGCAGUGGGGAAUUUUCCGCAAUGGGCGAAAGCCUGACGGAGCAAGACCGCGUGGGGGAGGAAGGUUCUUGGAUUGUCAACCCCUUUUCUCAGGGAAGAACACAAUGACGGUACCUGAGGAAAAAGCAUCGGCUAACUCCGUGCCAGCAGCCGCGGUAAUACGGGGGAUGCAAGCGUUAUCCGGGAAUGAUUGGGCGUAAAGAGUCCGUAGGUAGUCAUCCAAGUCUGCUGUUAAAGAGCGAGGCUUAACCUCGUAAAGGCAGUGGAAACUGGGAAGACUAGAGUGUAGUAG